AACGAACGCUGGCGGCGCGCUUAACACAUGCAAGUCGAACGAGAAGGCGUAGCAAUACGCUUGUACAGUGGCGAACGGGUGAGUAAUACGUGGGCGACCUACCCUCGAGUGGGGAAUAACCCGCCGAAAGGCGGGCUAAUGCCGCGUACGCUUCCAUCUUUAUGGAGGUGGAAGGAAAGCCGUGCCGUGGGCACGGCGCUCAAGGAUGGGCUCACGUCCUAUCAGCUUGNGGUAGGGUAACGGCCUACCAAGGCUCCGACGGGUAGCUGGUCUGAGAGGACGAUCAGCCACACUGGCACUGCGACACGGGCCAGACUCCUACGGGAGGCAGCAGUGAGGAAUAUUGCGCAAUGGGCGAAAGCCUGACGCAGCGACGCCGCGUGGGGGAUGAAGGUCUUCGGAUUGUAAACCCCUUUCGGGAGGGAAGAGUGGGACGGGCAACCGUUCGGACGGUACCUCCAGAGCAGCCACGGCUAACUUCGUGCCAGCCGCCGCGGUAA
Molecule: ribosomal RNA, 500 nt
Filed under: uncultured bacterium
Lineage: Bacteria
Description: bacterial SSU rRNA
Rfam family: Bacterial small subunit ribosomal RNA
Source: RNAcentral